This 221-nucleotide unclassified non-coding RNA is filed under the name Hevea brasiliensis (rubber tree). Lineage: Eukaryota; Viridiplantae; Streptophyta; Magnoliopsida; Malpighiales; Euphorbiaceae. The record is from RNAcentral.
AAGAACAUUGAGGAUGUUGAUACUAAAGAAAAAAUAAAUUAAUAUUUUAUAAUUUCUAAUUCAACCUUAACACCAAGUGGAUGGCAAAAAUUUAACUGAAGUGUUCAUCCACUACUUCCAUUCAUUCCCUAGAAUAAUUUGGCAUUUAUUUCCUCAUGCCAAACCUAGUGUCCACUAGACUAAACCCACACAACAGCAUGAAGCUAUGAAAGUCCUCUGAG